RNAcentral lists this transfer RNA (73 nucleotides) under Ipomoea nil (Japanese morning glory). It matches the Rfam family "tRNA". Rfam says of the family: Transfer RNA (tRNA) molecules are approximately 80 nucleotides in length. The record is from Rfam by way of RNAcentral. Lineage: Eukaryota; Viridiplantae; Streptophyta; Magnoliopsida; Solanales; Convolvulaceae.
GGGGAUGUAGCUCAAAUGGUAGAGCGCUCGCUUAGCAUGCGAGAGGUUCGGGGAUCUAUACCCCGCAUCUCCA